UGUGUAUCAGUACAUGGUAUAUCAAUAAGCGGAGGAAAAGAAACUAACAAGGAUUCCCUUAGUAACGGCGAGUGAAGCGGGAAGAGCUCAAAUUUGAAAUCUUCAAGGUUUUACCUUGACGAAUUGUAGUUUAAAGAAGUGUUUUCUGUUGAAGUUUUGGUAAAAGUUCUUUGGAAUAGGACAUCAUAGAGGGUGAGAAUCCCGUAUUUGACCAUUAUUUUCAGCUGUGUGAUACACUUUCAAAGAGUCGGAUUGUUUGGGAAUGCAGUCCAAAAUGGGUGGUAAAUUUCAUCUAAAGCUAAAUAUUGGCGAGAGACCGAUAGCGAACAAGUACCGUGAGGGAAAGAUGAAAAGAACUUUGAAAAGAGAGUUAAACAGUACGUGAAAUUGUCAAAAGGGAAGCGUUUGACACCAGUGUUGUUUUUCCGAAAAUCAAUUAUGAAUGCUUUAUUUUGAGGAGUUCAUGACCUUAAUAGGCUUGUUCUUAUUUUCAUGUAACUUUCUUAAUGCACUUUUCGGUUAACAAGUCAACAUCAAUUUCUUUUGUUGUAAAAGGGUAUGAGGAAGGUGGCUUUCUUUUCGGAGAAAGUGUUUAUAGCCUUGUGCCUCUACAAUCGGAGAGAUUGAGGUCUGCAGCGUAGAUCCUUCGGGGUUAGAUACAUUUGUGCUAAGUUAUAGCUUUUCAUAGACAACUUGUUGACUAUGAUUUAGUCAUUGUAGCUUACUCGCUUACUGCUAUUUUACCUACGCUUAGGAUGUUGACUGAUAUGUAGUCGU
Molecule: ribosomal RNA, 777 nt
Filed under: uncultured Neocallimastigales
Lineage: Eukaryota; Fungi; Neocallimastigomycota; Neocallimastigomycetes; Neocallimastigales
Description: partial large subunit ribosomal RNA
Rfam family: Eukaryotic large subunit ribosomal RNA
Source: RNAcentral